CUGGCGGCGUGCCUAAUACAUGCAAGUCGAGCGGAUCUUCAUUAGCUUGCUUUUGAAGAUCAGCGGCGGACGGGUGAGUAACACGUGGGCAACCUGCCUGUAAGACUGGGAUAACUUCGGGAAACCGGAGCUAAUACCGGAUAAUCCAUUCCCUCACAUGAGGGAAU
Molecule: ribosomal RNA, 167 nt
Filed under: Mesobacillus selenatarsenatis SF-1
Lineage: Bacteria; Bacillati; Bacillota; Bacilli; Caryophanales; Bacillaceae
Description: small subunit ribosomal RNA
Rfam family: Bacterial small subunit ribosomal RNA
Source: RNAcentral